AGCUUUUCAAAUCCGUGCUGAGAUUUCGUAAGACACCAACUCAUUAGGCCUGGUUAGACUUUCAAGAUAAGUGAAGUU
RNAcentral lists this microRNA precursor (78 nucleotides) under Schistosoma margrebowiei. RNAcentral describes it as "mir-3492 microRNA precursor family". It matches the Rfam family "mir-3492 microRNA precursor family". Lineage: Eukaryota; Metazoa; Platyhelminthes; Trematoda; Strigeidida; Schistosomatidae. The record is from Rfam by way of RNAcentral.